Molecule: ribosomal RNA, 490 nt
Filed under: uncultured bacterium
Lineage: Bacteria
Description: partial 16S ribosomal RNA
Rfam family: Bacterial small subunit ribosomal RNA
Source: RNAcentral
AUUGAACGCUGGCGGCAGGCCUAACACAUGCAAGUCGAGCGGCAGCGGAAAGUAGCUUGCUACUUUGCCGGCGAGCGGCGGACGGGUGAGUAAUGUCUGGGGAUCUGCCUGAUUGAGGGGGAUAACUACUGGAAACGGUAGCUAAUACCGCAUAACGUCGCAAGACCAAAGCGGGGGACCUUCGGGCCUCGCGCCCUCAGAUGAACCCAGAUGGGAUUAGCUAGUAGGUGGGGUAAUGGCUCACCUAGGCGACGAUCCCUAGCUGGUCUGAGAGGAUGACCAGCCACACUGGAACUGAGACACGGUCCAGACUCCUACGGGAGGCAGCAGUGGGGAAUAUUGCACAAUGGGCGCAAGCCUGAUGCAGCCAUGCCGCGUGUAUGAAGAAGGCCUUCGGGUUGUAAAGUACUUUCAGCGAGGAGGAAGGCGGUAAGGUUAAUAACCUUACUGAUUGACGUUACUCGCAGAAGAAGCACCGGCUAACUCCGUG